Molecule: ribosomal RNA, 468 nt
Filed under: uncultured bacterium
Lineage: Bacteria
Description: partial 16S ribosomal RNA
Rfam family: Bacterial small subunit ribosomal RNA
Source: RNAcentral
GACGAACGCUGGCGGCGUGCUUAACACAUGCAAGUCGAACGGAAAGGCCCUGCUUUUGUGGGGUGCUCGAGUGGCGAACGGGUGAGUAACACGUGAGUAACCUGCCCUUGACUUUGGGAUAACUUCAGGAAACUGGGGCUAAUACCGGAUAGGAGCUCCUGCUGCAUGGUGGGGGUUGGAAAGUUUCGGCGGUUGGGGAUGGACUCGCGGCUUAUCAGCUUGUUGGUGGGGUAGUGGCUUACCAAGGCUUUGACGGGUAGCCGGCCUGAGAGGGUGACCGGCCAAAUUGGGACUGAGAUACGGCCCAGACUCCUACGGGAGGCAGCAGUGGGGAAUAUUGCACAAUGGGCGGAAGCCUGAUGCAGCAACGCCGCGUGCGGGAUGACGGCCUUCGGGUUGUAAACCGCUUUCGCCUGGGACGAAGCGUGAGUGACGGUAAUGGGUAAAGAAGCACCGGCUAACUACGUG